UACGAACUGUGCAAACGUUAUUCGGAAUCACUGGGCUUAAAGGGUGCGUAGGCGGCUUGUUAAGUAGGGUGUGAAAUCCCCCGGCUCAACCGGGGAAUUGCGCCCUAAACUGGCGAGCUGGAGUGAGAUAGGGGUGUGUGGAACUUCCAGUGGAGCGGUGAAAUGUGUUGAUAAUUGGAAGGAACGCCAGUGGCGAAAGCGACACACUGGGUCUCAACUGACGCUGAGGCACGAAAGCCAGGGGAGCAAACGGG
This 254-nucleotide ribosomal RNA is filed under the name uncultured bacterium. Its description in RNAcentral is "partial 16S ribosomal RNA". It matches the Rfam family "Bacterial small subunit ribosomal RNA", at positions 524 to 776 of the family's 1533-position model. The record is from RNAcentral.